Molecule: ribosomal RNA, 495 nt
Filed under: uncultured bacterium
Lineage: Bacteria
Description: partial 16S ribosomal RNA
Rfam family: Bacterial small subunit ribosomal RNA
Source: RNAcentral
GAUGAACGCUGGCGGCGUGCCUAAUACAUGCAAGUCGAGCGAACAGACGAGGAGCUUGCUCCUCUGACGUUAGCGGCGGACGGGUGAGUAACACGUGGAUAACCUACCUAUAAGACUGGGAUAACUUCGGGAAACCGGAGCUAAUACCGGAUAAUAUAUUGAACCGCAUGGUUCAAUAGUGAAAGACGGUUUUGCUGUCACUUAUAGAUGGAUCCGCGCCGCAUUAGCUAGUUGGUAAGGUAACGGCUUACCAAGGCAACGAUGCGUAGCCGACCUGAGAGGGUGAUCGGCCACACUGGAACUGAGACACGGUCCAGACUCCUACGGGAGGCAGCAGUAGGGAAUCUUCCGCAAUGGGCGAAAGCCUGACGGAGCAACGCCGCGUGAGUGAUGAAGGUCUUCGGAUCGUAAAACUCUGUUAUUAGGGAAGAACAAAUGUGUAAGUAACUAUGCACGUCUUGACGGUACCUAAUCAGAAAGCCCCGGCUAACUACG